Molecule: ribosomal RNA, 253 nt
Filed under: uncultured bacterium
Lineage: Bacteria
Description: partial 16S ribosomal RNA
Rfam family: Bacterial small subunit ribosomal RNA
Source: RNAcentral
UACGAAGGGGGCUAGCGUUGCUCGGAAUCACUGGGCGUAAAGGGUGCGUAGGCGGUCGGGUAAGUCUGUCGUGAAAUCUCCGAGCCCAACUCGGAAACUGCGUCGGAUACUAUUCGGCUAGAGGAAUGGAGGGGAGACUGGAAUUCUCGGUGUAGCAGUGAAAUGCGUAGAUAUCAAGUGGAACACCAGUGGCGAAGGCGAGUCCCUGGACAACUCCUGACACUGAGGCACGAAAGCUAGGGGAGCAAACAGG